RNAcentral lists this long non-coding RNA (302 nucleotides) under Panax ginseng (ginseng). RNAcentral describes it as "long non-coding RNA (PGIN_LNC015347)". The record is from RNAcentral. Lineage: Eukaryota; Viridiplantae; Streptophyta; Magnoliopsida; Apiales; Araliaceae.
UCUCUUGAAGCUCUGCAAUCUUUCUUCGCCGUGGUCUGAACACUCAAAAAUGGUACAACAAAACAGAGCAACCAAAGUCACCAAAUCACCAAAUUAACUACAACAAAUCAAUCGACUACAACAACCAACCACCAAACCAGAGCAACCAAAGUCACCACUUAUCAGAUUCAAGCUCGAACAGAGGAUGGGUGGGCCUAACGGCGAUGGGAGGAUGUUGGAGGUAAGAGAUGAUGGUAGUUCGAAUCAGAUUCCGGUGAUAGCACAAACACCCAUUAUCCAACCAGAUCGUGGAUGUAAGACCC